GUUUUGAUGUGUAUGGUUAUUUCAUGUAUUAAGACUGAGCCAACAUGGGGUCGCCCGACUGGUGCAACAGAAG
Non-coding RNA from Pangasianodon gigas (Mekong giant catfish), 73 nucleotides. NCBI's taxonomy places the organism in Eukaryota, Metazoa, Chordata, Actinopteri, Siluriformes, Pangasiidae. The record is from the annotation of a GenBank genome assembly.